This is a long non-coding RNA of Melanotaenia boesemani (Boeseman's rainbowfish), 885 nucleotides long. RefSeq lists it as uncharacterized. The record is from RefSeq and is a predicted model, not a curated record. The transcript has 3 exons. NCBI's taxonomy places the organism in Eukaryota, Metazoa, Chordata, Actinopteri, Atheriniformes, Melanotaeniidae.
UGAUACUGCAAUAUCCACAUGUGGUGAUAAGCGAUUGUUAGAGCGGACGAUACGACGAGUGAACAUAGUUGACUUUACAACCUUCUUGAAGAACUCAACCCUGUUGCUUCAUCAACGUCCACUGGCGUGACCACUAGGCUGUGAAACUGGAGGAUCAUGGGGAGCUAUAAACUAAGAAUUAUUGUUAAUGAACAGGAUAUACAUAAAGUUUCACUACAUGUGAAACCAGAAACAGUUGAAGAUCUGAUGAUGAUAAUUAAAGAAAAAUGCAAACUCAAGGAAGACUUUAAUCUUAUGUAUGAGGAUCCAGAUUUUGAUAAUUCCCUCUGCAACCUUGAUGAUGUACAAGAUUUGCCGGCUUCAAAAGCUACUGUCAAGAUCAUACCAUUAGUGACGCUGACAGUGAUACCUACCACCUGCACGCCUACCACCUGCACCUCUGGUGUAUCUGAUGGCUCCUCAGAUGAUACAGUGAUUCUGUCGACACCAAGCCCAUCAGCAAGACAAGAGCAAUGGCCAGAGUUUUUUGACAUUCCAAAUUUUCCUGUUGAUGUGGAAUUCAGGCUAAGACAGGCCAAUCUUCUGUAUUUACAAGACCGUACUUGCUUGAAUGUACCAAGAGACAUGAAGCAUGGUAUUUUGGAGAGAAUCGCUGAAGAGAUCUACAGAUUUGAUGCCUAUCCGAAUGAAGAACGAUGCCAUUCUGUGGCAUUAGCACUCAUAACAAAACAUCCCUGUCUGAGGGAACCAGGCUCACCAGAUGGGUGUUCUGGCUGGAAGAACAGCUUGAUGUACAAAAUGGGGAACUAUCGCACUAAACUGAGGAAAGCAGGAUGUGCAGAAGUUGCAAUAAAUGCAGGGAUAAGACGUACACCACAAGUGGGA